UACGUAGGGAGCGAGCGUUGUCCGGAUUUACUGGGUGUAAAGGGUGCGUAGGCGGCUCUGCAAGUCAGGUGUGAAAACCAUCGGCUCAACUGAUGGACUGCAUUUGAAACUGUGGAGCUUGAGUGAAGUAGAGGCAGGCGGAAUUCCCGGUGUAGCGGUGAAAUGCGUAGAGAUCGGGAGGAACACCAGUGGCGAAGGCGGCCUGCUGGGCUUUAACUGACGCUGAAGCACGAAAGCAUGGGUAG
RNAcentral lists this ribosomal RNA (245 nucleotides) under uncultured bacterium. Its description in RNAcentral is "partial 16S ribosomal RNA". It matches the Rfam family "Bacterial small subunit ribosomal RNA", at positions 524 to 768 of the family's 1533-position model. The record is from RNAcentral.